RNAcentral lists this ribosomal RNA (496 nucleotides) under uncultured bacterium. RNAcentral's name for it is "partial 16S ribosomal RNA". It matches the Rfam family "Bacterial small subunit ribosomal RNA", at positions 28 to 506 of the family's 1533-position model. The record is from RNAcentral.
GAUGAACGCUGGCGGCGUGCCUAAUACAUGCAAGUCGAGCGAACAGACGAGGAGCUUGCUCCUCUGACGUUAGCGGCGGACGGGUGAGUAACACGUGGAUAACCUACCUAUAAGACUGGGAUAACUUCGGGAAACCGGAGCUAAUACCGGAUAAUAUAUUGAACCGCAUGGUUCAAUAGUGAAAGACGGUUUUGCUGUCACUUAUAGAUGGAUCCGCGCCGCAUUAGCUAGUUGGUAAGGUAACGGCUUACCAAGGCGACGAUGCGUAGCCGACCUGAGAGGGUGAUCGGCCACACUGGAACUGAGACACGGUCCAGACUCCUACGGGAGGCAGCAGUAGGGAAUCUUCCGCAAUGGGCGAAAGCCUGACGGAGCAACGCCGCGUGAGUGAUGAAGGUCUUCGGAUCGUAAAACUCUGUUAUUAGGGAAGAACAAAUGUGUAAGUAACUAUGCACGUCUGGACGGUACCUAAUCAGAAAGCCACGGCUAACUACGU